ACUUGGCUUUUGAAAAAGGUUAGAAAUAAAGGGAGACAUGAGGCUAAAAAAUCUACAUAAUAUUGGGUGAAGCAUACAACUUUUGGAAUCGACUCUUUAAGGAAAUAAACUUUUGCCCCAGUUUUAUUUCAUUUUGGGUAACUUAAAUUUUCUUCUGGUUAGACCGAACCCCAGAGUAGGGCUGCCUACGUAUCUUGUCAUAGCAAGAAACAGGUCAAACAUAGUUCAGACAUCUUAUUCUUUUCUUUUUACCUUUUUUUUGAAUUGAAC
Molecule: long non-coding RNA, 270 nt
Filed under: Capsicum annuum
Lineage: Eukaryota; Viridiplantae; Streptophyta; Magnoliopsida; Solanales; Solanaceae
Description: long non-coding RNA (CANN_LNC019721)
Source: RNAcentral